AGAGCGAACGCUGGCGGCAGGCCUAACACAUGCAAGUCGAACGCCCAGCAAUGGGAGUGGCAGACGGGAUAGUAACACGUGGGAACGCGCCCUUCGGUUCGGAAUAACUCAGGGAAACUUGAGCUAAUACCGGAUACGCCCUUACGGGGAAAGAUUUAUUGCCGAAGGAACGGCCCGCGUCGGAUUAGCUAGUUGGUGAGGUAAUGGCUCACCAAGGCGACGAUCCGUAGCUGGUCUGAGAGGAUGACCAGCAUCACUGGGACUGAGACACGGCCCAGACUCCUACGGGAGGCAGCAGUGGGGAAUAUUGGACAAUGGGCGCAAGCCUGAUCCAGCCAUGCCGCGUGGAUGAUGAAGGCCCUAGGGUUGUAAAGUCCUCUUAACGGGGAAGAUAAUGACGGUACCCGUAGAAUAAGCCCCGGCUAACUUCGUGCCAGCAGCCGC
RNAcentral lists this ribosomal RNA (444 nucleotides) under uncultured bacterium. RNAcentral's name for it is "SSU rRNA". It matches the Rfam family "Bacterial small subunit ribosomal RNA", at positions 26 to 518 of the family's 1533-position model. The record is from RNAcentral.